RNAcentral lists this ribosomal RNA (536 nucleotides) under Ranatra chinensis. RNAcentral describes it as "partial 12S ribosomal RNA". Lineage: Eukaryota; Metazoa; Arthropoda; Insecta; Hemiptera; Nepidae. The record is from RNAcentral.
UACAUCAGGGGUGAGCAAAUUUUUUCGGUCUUGAUAUUUUUAUUUUUGUUAUGAUUAAAUUUAUUUUACUUUAGGUGAAAUUAUGGUUUUGUUUUAUAAUCAGUUUUUGUAAAUUAUGUGAUAAUAAUUGUUUAAGACUAGGAUUAGAUACCCUAUUAUGUUUAUUGUAAAUGUUAGGCCUUAGUAUUAAUAGUUAUGAUCUUUAAAUUAAAAGAAUUUGGCGGUAAUUUAAUCUUUCCAGAGGAACCUGUCCUGUAAUUGAUAAUCCACGUUGAAUUUUACUUAAGUUGGGCUUGUAUACCUCUGUCAUUGAAUGUUUUUUAAGGAUUUAUUUUCUCUAAUCUUUUUUGAGAUUAAUGUUAGGUCAAGGUGCAGCAAUGCUUAAGAUAGAGAUGGGUUACAUUUUUUGUAUUUUUGGAUUUUAUGUUGUAAUACAUAUUUGAAAUUGGAUUUGGAAGUAAUUUAUAUUAUUUAUUAUGGGUGAUUUUGGCUCUAAAUUAUGUACACAUCGCCCGUCACUCUCAUGAUAAGAUGAG